This 394-nucleotide ribosomal RNA is filed under the name uncultured bacterium. RNAcentral describes it as "bacterial SSU rRNA". It matches the Rfam family "Bacterial small subunit ribosomal RNA", at positions 28 to 423 of the family's 1533-position model. The record is from RNAcentral.
GACGAACGCUGGCGGCGUGCUUAACACAUGCAAGUCGAGCGGUAAGGCCCUUUCGGGGGUACACGAGCGGCGAACGGGUGAGUAACACGUGGGUGACCUGCCCUUAGCUCUGGGAUAAGCCUGGGAAACUGGGUCUAAUACCGGAUAUGACUCCAUGACGCAUGUUGUGGGGUGGAAAGCCUUGUGCGGCUAGGGAUGGGCCCGCGGCCUAUCAGCUUGUUGGUGGGGUGAUGGCCACCAAGGCGACGACGAGUAGCCGGCCUGAGAGGGCGACCGGCCACACUGGGACUGAGACACGGCCCAGACUCCUACGGGAGGCAGCAGUGGGGAAGUCUUGCGCAAUGGGCGAAGGCCUGACGCAGCGACGCCGCGUGGGGAGUGACGGCCUCGGUGU